GUAGAACAGUCUCUUGUUGGUGUUGAACAAUCUGCUCUACAAAGUUUGACUGGUUUAGCCACAGAUAAAUUGAAUAGCCUCAUCGGUAAACUCGGAAAGCGAAACAUCUUCAAAGAUUUGUUGAGUGGAGUAGAACAGUCUCUUGUUGGUGUUGAACAAUCUGCUCUACAAAGUUUGACUGGUUUGGCUA
Long non-coding RNA from Patella vulgata (common limpet), 190 nucleotides. RefSeq lists it as uncharacterized. NCBI's taxonomy places the organism in Eukaryota, Metazoa, Mollusca, Gastropoda, Patellidae. The record is from RefSeq and is a predicted model, not a curated record. The transcript has 3 exons.